Molecule: ribosomal RNA, 360 nt
Filed under: uncultured bacterium
Lineage: Bacteria
Description: bacterial SSU rRNA
Rfam family: Bacterial small subunit ribosomal RNA
Source: RNAcentral
AACGAACGCUGGCGGCGUGCCUAACACAUGCAAGUCGAACGAGAAAGGGGCUUCGGCUCCGAGUAAAGUGGCGCACGGGUGAGUAACACGUAGGUAACCUGCCUCUAAGAUUGGGAUAACAUGUCGAAAGACGUGCUAAUACCGAAUAAGACCACGGCUUCCUCGGAAGCAGGGGUCAAAGAUAGCCUCUACUUGUAAGCUAUCACUUAGAGAUGGGCCUGCGUACCAUUAGCUAGUUGGUAGGGUAAUGGCCUACCAAGGCAAAGAUGGUUAGCUGGUCUGAGAGGAUGAUCAGCCACACUGGAACUGAGACACGGUCCAGACUCCUACGGGAGGCAGCAGUGGGGAAUAUUGCGCAAU